UACGUAGGUGGCUAGCGUUGUCCGGAUUUACUGGGCGUAAAGAGCGCGCAGGCGGUUUCUUAAGUCAGAUGUGAAAUCCCCGGGCUUAACCUGGGAACUGCGUUUGAAACUGGGAGACUUGAGUGUGGCAGAGGGGGGUGGAAUUCCACGUGUAGCAGUGAAAUGCGUAGAUAUGUGGAGGAACACCAAUGGCGAAGGCAGCCCCCUGGGUCAACACUGACGCUCAUGCACGAAAGCGUGGGGAGCAAACAGG
This 253-nucleotide ribosomal RNA is filed under the name uncultured bacterium. Its description in RNAcentral is "partial 16S ribosomal RNA". It matches the Rfam family "Bacterial small subunit ribosomal RNA", at positions 524 to 776 of the family's 1533-position model. The record is from RNAcentral.